AUGUUUAUUGAGGUCAUGUAGAUUUACAAGACUGUAAAUGUCUUAAAGGUGUAAGUUCUCACCUUUACAAGUGAAAGUUAUCACACCACACCCAUCAUCAAAGCACCAAUAAUCUGCCAUCAUAAUCCCCUGUAAAAUAUUUCUUAUGAUCUUCUUAAGAUCCCUAAGGCAUCAUCCAUCUUGACCAACAAGUACAAAGAAAUACAAUCAAUGAGGAAAAUAUUGCCAAGUUUGGAGAGUGAGGAAAUACAGUUUCAUUCCCAAAUGUGUUGCUGAUCGGUGCUGUGCUUUGGCUAUUCAACAAGAAGACCAUACAAGAGAAAGAUAACAAAAGAUACCUGAGACUCAGAAAAGCAUGUAGUUCAUGGAACAGAGGCUGAAAACCUGAGGUGAUUUCAUAAUACAGUGCUUCUCAAACUGUAGCAAAAGUCAGAUUCAACAGAGUGUUCUUCAAGACACAGAUUUCUAUGCCCAGCCCUGAAGUUCUAAUCAGUAGGUCUGGGGUGGAGCGCAAGAAUAUCCAUUGUUGCAAGUUCCCUUGUGAUGUUGUUCCUGAUCAGAAGAACACACUUUGAAAACUAUAGCUAUUGAACAUCUGAGUACAGCAGCAGUUUUAAACUCUCCCAAGCAAUUUCCAAGUAG
Talpa occidentalis (Iberian mole) is the source of this 642-nucleotide long non-coding RNA. RefSeq lists it as uncharacterized. The record is from RefSeq and is a predicted model, not a curated record. NCBI's taxonomy places the organism in Eukaryota, Metazoa, Chordata, Mammalia, Eulipotyphla, Talpidae. The transcript has 3 exons.